Molecule: transfer RNA, 51 nt
Filed under: Xiphinema rivesi
Lineage: Eukaryota; Metazoa; Nematoda; Enoplea; Dorylaimida; Longidoridae
Description: tRNA-Glu
Source: RNAcentral
GUCCUGAUGGUGAUAAUCAUAUCUCAUUUUCAAUGAGAAGAAAAGGGGAUU